RNAcentral lists this ribosomal RNA (459 nucleotides) under uncultured bacterium. Its description in RNAcentral is "partial 16S ribosomal RNA". It matches the Rfam family "Bacterial small subunit ribosomal RNA", at positions 338 to 795 of the family's 1533-position model. The record is from RNAcentral.
CCUACGGGAGGCUGCAGUGAGGAAUAUUGGUCAAUGGCCGCAGGGCUGAACCAGCCAAGUCGCGUGAGGGAUGACGGUCCUAUGGAUUGUAAACCUCUUUUGUCAGGGAGCAAAGGGCGCCACGUGUGGCGCUUUGCGAGUACCUGAAGAAAAAGCAUCGGCUAACUCCGUGCCAGCAGCCGCGGUAAUACGGAGGAUGCGAGCGUUAUCCGGAUUUAUUGGGUUUAAAGGGUGCGCAGGCGGAAUGUCAAGUCAGCGGUAAAAUUUCGGGGCUCAACCCCGUCGUGCCGUUGAAACUGGCGUUCUUGAGUGAGUGAGAAGUAUGCGGAAUGCGUGGUGUAGCGGUGAAAUGCAUAGAUAUCACGCAGAACUCCGAUUGCGAAGGCAGCAUACCGGCGCUCAACUGACGCUCAUGCACGAAAGCGUGGGUAUCGAACAGGAUUAGAUACCCCAGUAGUC